Piliocolobus tephrosceles (Ugandan red Colobus) is the source of this 1556-nucleotide long non-coding RNA. RefSeq lists it as uncharacterized. Lineage: Eukaryota; Metazoa; Chordata; Mammalia; Primates; Cercopithecidae. The record is from RefSeq and is a predicted model, not a curated record. The transcript has 5 exons.
GAGAAGAGAAGAGAGGAGAGGAGAGGAGAGGAGAGGAGAGGAGAGGAGAGGAGAGGAGAAAGGAAAAGAAAAGAAAAGAGAAGAAAAGCUUAGCUAGCAGUCUUAUUGCUCAUUUGAAAGUCAGGAAUGAGAUCAAGGGGAUUCCUGUGAGCAAGGUUCUUCCUGGUACCUCAGUGAACAACUGGAUGAAGAAGAGGGGAAGGAGGAGGCUGCCUGUGCCCCCCAAGACAUCAGGUACCCUCCUUAUGGUGACUGCAGAGAUCCUGGGAAGAGUCAAACAAAGGUUAUUCAAAUCCAGAGGUGUCUCCUGGACCCAAAGGGGUUCACCAGAGAGGAAGGAGACCGCUUGGAAAAGGCUUUUCCAAUUUGGAGGCACAAAUAAGUGAGAACUUGGGGAUCCACUGAGGUCUGAGGCACGGUGGUACCAGAGGAGAUGAAGGGGCUGUCGGCAUGAAGCUGGUCCCCUGUUGACAGCACGCUGAUUUUCCCGUUGGGCUCUAUCAGCAUGUCCACUGUCAGACACUGAUGGCGUUCAAAAGAAAAUCAAGGGACCUGCCUACGUGGUUCUGCUUUCUAGAUGCUUCUGACAUCCCUACAUGGAGGCCUAGAGAGUGAAAAGGGCAAGACCUGAAAAAGUAAGCAAGACUGUCAGUGUUGAAAUGAGCCAUGUGGACUAUCUAGGACAAACGCCUCAUGUCACAGAAGAGGGAACGAGGGCUUCUCCAGUCACACUGGGAGGCCGCAGGUGCUCUCUGGCUGCCUCUGACUCCUGGACCAUGCUCGUUAAAAUACCAGGAUGGUAAAUCAGUGAAUUCCAAAGUCAGAAUUUUUGUUGGAUCUGGCACAGUGACAGGAAAGUCUGAGCCUUCUCAAGGGCAUCCGUGUCUCACCGAGGGGCACCAAGGACAGAUGACCAGAAGCAAAUGGCGCAGUCACCGUCAGAGGAGAGUAAAACUCAUUCUGAAACCGUUCCAAAUGCCCAUGCCUGUUCUGUGGUUUUCAGCAAAGCAGACCUUUCCAAAAGACCUCCAACGGGGACUUCCUGGAUGUGAGAACACUAACCAAUUCUCGUUCCUCUCAUCUUUUGCUUUAUUCCUUCCUUCCACGCUGUUAUUGCGAAAAACUGGCAGUUAAAUUCAAUUGAUUCAAAGUAUUCGGGAUCCAUAUGGCCGCCAACCCUGGAGCUGAAGCGGCGAUAGCGCCUCACUGCUGUUUUCAAGCAUUUGCCUCUCCUCCAGUCCCCAGAUGGUGGGAGUAACAUUUAAACCUCCUUUUCUCUGCCUUGUACAAUAGACCUUGGCACCAUUUCAACUGUUUACUCCGGUAAUUAACAGCUCUGAUACCACAACAAUUACAACUCCUACACUCUCACCACAAUAAUGCUAUGAAUUAGUGAGAGCUAAUGGCUGGAAGGUAGAGUGUUUCCAGACUGUGAGAUCUGUGCAUUUUUAGAAUAAAAUAAAAGGUACAAACAGCACGCUUGCAGUAGACAAUGAUUACCUAGUAAUUAGUUUACACAAAGCUUCCUAUUUAAUGGCAAAACGCUGUAAUUAACG